AGAGUUUAGACUAAUCUGUUUACAAGUAAUGGACGUCAUCAACCAUUCGGCCAAUCACAGUCGUUUACGAUCACGUGAUUAAAGUAGAC
This is a long non-coding RNA of Maniola jurtina (meadow brown), 89 nucleotides long. RefSeq lists it as uncharacterized. Lineage: Eukaryota; Metazoa; Arthropoda; Insecta; Lepidoptera; Nymphalidae. The record is from RefSeq and is a predicted model, not a curated record. The transcript has 3 exons.